Molecule: long non-coding RNA, 2729 nt
Organism: Prinia subflava (tawny-flanked prinia)
Lineage: Eukaryota; Metazoa; Chordata; Aves; Passeriformes; Cisticolidae
Exons: 3
Source: RefSeq, a predicted model, not a curated record
CGGGGCUGGGGAUGGAGCGCUGGCUGCUCAAGCUGCCGGAAACAGCACGUUUAUGCAGCUUCAUCCUAGUAUGCUGAAAUGGAUUUGUCUCCAGGCAAUUUACAGCAUAUCUAAACCAUCUCUCAUUUUUACUCCCACUCAGAAAGCAGAUGUUGCUACGGUGAGAAAACUUUCACCAACACAGAGUGAGUAUCAGCCAAGACCUUGCACCCCAACCUCCUUCACUCAUCACAACAUCCCUGGUUGCAAUACCACCUAGGCAAAUGUGCUCUCAGAGCUCAGCCAGAGUGCCAUCCAGAGAGCUGAACAGCAGGCAGCAGUCUUUCUUCUCAUGCUAGUAUCUCUGCCAACCCAGGAAGAUCCGGCGAGGUUGACAGCUGGAAGGCAAGUCUUGUUACUGUUCCAUUUCUUAGUUAUCGCUUGCAUGUGGGAAGGGAAAGGCAGCGAUUUGUUCUACCAAAUGAGAAACAUCUUCAAGGCAGUCAGUGCAAGCCUUGGCAGCUAUGGAGGGUGUAUUAUAAAAUGGCAACAGCUGCAUGUGACUAUGUUCUCAUAGGGCCCUUGACAGAAUUUUGUUAUCUUGCAAAUGCCUUACAGACUGAUAGCAUUAAAAACUGCACUUCCAUAGAAGUAACAUGCUUAACUUUGGCUCUAAGUGUCAAAUCACAUUCAUUAAUUAUAAUUCAUGUGUAUUUGCAUUCCUGGGGAGUCAUCACCAUCUUAUGAAUGAAGAUACUUUCACUAUGGAAUUGACAGGAAGGACAUUUGUCUUUUGAUCAUUAUUACCAAACUGUCUGAUCAGUAUGUUCUCACAUCUUGUGCAAGAAAAACAGCCUGGCAUGGCAACUGCAGAGGAGAUCAGCAUUUCCACCCUCCCUCCCAGACAAGAAGCACAGACAGAAAUGUCUGGAAAAGGAGCCAGCACUGACAUUGCUCCUCACCUGUCCUUUUCUGCAACACGAGGGCUGGGAAAGCUGAAGUCCGUUUGUGCUCAGAUCUUCAUGACUUGUCUCAAUCAAGAACCUCUGCAACUGUGCACUAAACAGACAUGUUGAACAGUUCUGGAAAUACAGAACUAGGCAUCUAAGAGAGGGAUCUUCAAAAAGUGACACAGUAGGUGGGAUUUUGUUUACCAGUAGAAGAUGGCGGGAAGAGGAGCAGUUGUCCCUGAAAAGAGCUACGUACCUAGCUCAGUGAUGGUGAUAAGGCAAUUGUGUCUGCUCCAGAUGCUGGAGUGAGUCCGAUAGAGACUUGAGGAUGAAUAAUGAUUGGAGCACAUGUUGUUCAAGGAGAGGCUAAGGGAGCUGGGACAGCUCAGCCUGAAGAAGCAAAGGCUUGUGGGGAAUCUUACUAAUACGUAUGAACACCUGAAGGGAGGUUGUACAGAAGAGAGAGCCAGGAUCUUUCAGUGGUAUCCGGAAAAAGGGCAAAAAGAAAUAAGAACAAAUGAAUUAAAUGUCAUGGAACCACAACAAAAAAUGUUUACAAUGAGUGUGCUCAUACAGAGUAGAUUGCCUAGAGAGAUCGUGGCAUUUACAUGUGGAGAUAUAAAAAAAUUAGACAUAGUCGUGGGUGAGUCGCUGCAGUUGACUCUGCUUUGGGGUGGUAGUGCUUGGACUACAUGACCUCCAGGAGGUCCCUUUCCAUCUCAACAAUUCUGUUUCUGUGAUGAGCCAAAGACAUAGAAUAAUUCCAAGCCUUUUAGGCAGCAAUGAAAUCUCCUUUCUGACAUUUUCAUUUAGUCUAAAUAAUAAAAUGGUCAUUAGGUGACAGAAAAAAUGAGAAAAACCAUGACUCUAGCCAGAGGGUUCGGGUAAGUCAGGUUGAAAUUUCUUGUUUCACAUAUUUCAUAGUGAUAUGAAGUAUAACAGGUUUUGAGAGAAAUACCGAGGAAAAAAUAUUUUUUCAGAACACCAACUGCUUGGUGAUAAGGAAAUUUUCUGCAAUAUUAGAUGAGAUAUUUAGGUUCAGCUCUAUAUCUCCCACAUGCCAGCUGAUUGCUCCAGAACGGGAAAUAUUAGGUACCAGCCAUCAUUCAGAAUUUAAUGAUUUUGGGGGGGAAAUGAAGUGAAGUGAACAUUAUACCAGAAUCUGUGGGUUUGACAAAUGUGGGAAUGUGUAAAUUGUCAGAACAUGAUUCACAAAAGAACUGAAAACAGUGAAAGAACCUCACACGUAUGUACACAUACAUAUUCUUGCCUACGCAAAUGUGAGCAAAAGCAAUGCAGAAAAUCACAGGCAAUACCUGAACAGUCAUUUUAUCCCAAGUCAAAUUUGGUUGUAAAUGAAACCUGUGGAAAACACUGCUCAAAAGAUCUAUGGAUUCUGCCUAUGGGAAAAAAAAAGGUGAUGUCAUCCCCAGCUGAAAAUGAAAGGGCUGUCAAACACUCAUUUGGCUGACCUCCAGAAGGCUGUAAAAAGUAAAACACCUGGCAGAUAGCUUGGGAAGUUUGAAUCUGUCAAAACCCCACACUACUACUGUGAACUGAAGUUCUGCACAACUUGCUAAACAAGACAGGAUAUUGGCAAUUUUCCAUGAUGGCCAGAAUCAAACUAUAAUGCCCAGUAGAACAAGGAACACUCAGUACUGUAGUUGGGGUUACCUGGAAAGAAGUGAACACUCAGACCAUCUACCAAGUCUGAUCCAUUAGCAUCUAGAACCCAAAAUAUAUAAACUGUGUUCCUUAGGUAGUACAUGGAAGAUGACAGAUAAACUCAGAGGACCUAAG